This 451-nucleotide ribosomal RNA is filed under the name uncultured bacterium. RNAcentral's name for it is "bacterial SSU rRNA". It matches the Rfam family "Bacterial small subunit ribosomal RNA", at positions 330 to 793 of the family's 1533-position model. The record is from RNAcentral.
GCCAGACUCCUACGGGAGGCAGCAGUGGGGAAUAUUGGGCAAUGGGCGCAAGCCUGACCCAGCAACGCCGCGUGAAGGAAGAAGGCUUUCGGGUUGUAAACUUCUUUUGUCAGGGACGAAGCAAGUGACGGUACCUGACGAAUAAGCCACGGCUAACUACGUGCCAGCAGCCGCGGUAAUACGUAGGUGGCAAGCGUUAUCCGGAUUUAUUGGGUGUAAAGGGCGUGUAGGCGGGAAUGUAAGUCAGAUGUGAAAACUAUGGGCUCAACCCAUAGCCUGCAUUUGAAGCUGUAUUUCUUGAGUGCUGGAGAGGCAAUCGGAAUUCCGUGUGUAGCGGUGAAAUGCGUAGAUAUAAGGAAGAACACCAGUGGCGAAGGCGGAUGACUGGACGGCAACUGACGGUGAGGCGCGAAAGCGUGGGGAGCAAACAGGAUUAGAUACCCGAGUACCG